GGGAAGGUAGCUCAGUGGUAAGAGCACUUGCCUUGCAUGCAUGAGGCCCGGGUUCGAUUCCUCAGCACCA
Molecule: transfer RNA, 70 nt
Filed under: Dipodomys ordii (Ord's kangaroo rat)
Lineage: Eukaryota; Metazoa; Chordata; Mammalia; Rodentia; Heteromyidae
Rfam family: tRNA
About the family: Transfer RNA (tRNA) molecules are approximately 80 nucleotides in length. Their secondary structure includes four short double-helical elements and three loops (D, anti-codon, and T loops).
Source: Rfam by way of RNAcentral